UGAUAGGCCGGAGGUGUAAGCACGGUAACGUGUUCAGCUGACCGGUACUAAUAACCCGAGGGCUUGACCUA
This 71-nucleotide ribosomal RNA is filed under the name Candidatus Scatomorpha intestinigallinarum. Its description in RNAcentral is "partial 23S ribosomal RNA". It matches the Rfam family "Bacterial large subunit ribosomal RNA", at positions 2853 to 2925 of the family's 2925-position model. Lineage: Bacteria; Bacillati; Bacillota; Clostridia; Eubacteriales. The record is from RNAcentral.